AACGGUCUAUACCUGCGGUACCUGCGGAAGGAUCAUUACCGAGUGCUGGGUCCUUCGGGGCCCAACCUCCCACCCGUGCUUACUUGUACCCUGUUGCUUCGGCGGGUCCGGGCCCUGUGCCCGGGUUUAUGCCCGCCGGAGACCCCUCGAACACUGCCUGAAAGCGUGCAGUCUGAGUCGAUUGAAUACCAAUCAGUCAAAACUUUUAGCAACGGAUCUCU
Molecule: unclassified non-coding RNA, 221 nt
Filed under: soil metagenome
Description: partial contains 5.8S ribosomal RNA, internal transcribed spacer 2, and large subunit ribosomal RNA
Source: RNAcentral